GACGAACGCUGGCGGCGUGCUUAACACAUGCAAGUCGAACGGAGCACCCUUGAAGGAGUUUUCGGACAACGGAGAGGAAUGCUUAGUGGCGGACUGGUGAGUAACGCGUGAGGAACCUGCCUUCCAGAGGGGGACAACAGUUGGAAACGACUGCUAAUACCGCAUGACAUAUCCGAAUCGCAUGGUAUGGAUAUCAAAAGAUUUAUCGCUGGAAGAUGGCCUCGCGUCUGAUUAGCUAGUAGGCGGGGUAACGGCCCACCUAGGCGACGAUCAGUAGCCGGACUGAGAGGUUGACCGGCCACAUUGGGACUGAGAUACGGCCCAGACUCCUACGGGAGGCAG
Molecule: ribosomal RNA, 342 nt
Filed under: uncultured Bacillota bacterium
Lineage: Bacteria; Bacillati; Bacillota
Description: bacterial SSU rRNA
Rfam family: Bacterial small subunit ribosomal RNA
Source: RNAcentral